Molecule: ribosomal RNA, 255 nt
Filed under: Staphylococcus aureus
Lineage: Bacteria; Bacillati; Bacillota; Bacilli; Caryophanales; Staphylococcaceae
Description: partial 16S ribosomal RNA
Rfam family: Bacterial small subunit ribosomal RNA
Source: RNAcentral
CAUGUGUAGCGGUGAAAUGCGCAGAGAUAUGGAGGAACACCAGUGGCGAAGGCGACUUUCUGGUCUGUAACUGACGCUGAUGUGCGAAAGCGUGGGGAUCAAACAGGAUUAGAUACCCUGGUAGUCCACGCCGUAAACGAUGAGUGCUAAGUGUUAGGGGGUUUCCGCCCCUUAGUGCUGCAGCUAACGCAUUAAGCACUCCGCCUGGGGAGUACGACCGCAAGGUUGAAACUCAAAGGAAUUGACGGGGACCCG